Molecule: ribosomal RNA, 313 nt
Filed under: uncultured bacterium
Lineage: Bacteria
Description: bacterial SSU rRNA
Rfam family: Bacterial small subunit ribosomal RNA
Source: RNAcentral
GAUGAACGCUGGCGGCGUGCCUAACACAUGCAAGUCGAACGGACUUGACUUGAAACCUAGUGAUAGUCAAGUUAGUGGCGGACGGGUGAGUAACGCGUGGGUAACCUGCCCUAUACCGGGGGAUAACACUUAGAAAUAGGUGCUAAUACCGCAUAAGCGCGCAGCUUCGCAUGGAGCAGUGCGAAAAACUCCGGUGGUAUAGGAUGGACCCGCGUCUGAUUAGAUAGUUGGUGGGGUAACGGCCUACCAAGUCGACGAUCAGUAGCCGGCCUGAGAGGGUGAACGGCCACAUUGGGACUGAGACACGGCCCAA